AAAUGCUCCAAACAUACUCUGCAAUCUUAAAUCAUGAAAUUCUGGAAGCAAUUAAUAUACGUUUUAGAACAGGCCAAAUCAGCUUUUCUCCAGCAUAACCAGGCCCAAGCAGCUGAAGUAUAAGCACAGGAGAGCCUCUCAUGUCCCAUGAAGACUGCAGUAGACUUUAUUGAUGCGGCCUCCGAUUCAAAGAUUUAUUAAUUUAUUGAUUUAUCAGCCAAGGGGAACAGCAAGGCAGUCAAAAGGCAGGUUUUAACAUCGUGAAAAACACUGCAAACGAUAAUGUAACACGCUAAAGAACGAGGCUGCAUUUCCUUUGAAAUGUACAAUGCAGUGCAACGCAUUCGCAAUAUAGCUGGAGGUUUAGUUUUUUUCCCGGCACUCCGUGAACACACUACAAUGCGCGUCAAACAUGAUGAGCUGUGAUAUACACACCACAGGACAGUUUCUCACUUAUUAUUUGCAACGAGGCCCCGCAGUUAUGUCUGAGUUCUCCCCGUGCGUUUGUGAGCUGGAGUCCCACUUUGAAAAGCAUAGAUUAUCCUGGCAUGAGCCGAGGUGGAAUACCAGACGCGAUUUUCUUUGAUAGAUCUUUGAGAAAUCAAGACGAUAAAUAUGUGCAUGCUGCCCCAUGAAAAAUGCAGGCGCACGGGGGGUAAAUAAAGAUGACGGAUCUGCGGGGUCGGAGCGGGGAAGCUGAAUAUCUCCUCAGCGCUAACCCCAGCCGCGCCCCCCUAGUCAACUUACGGUCGCUAUUUUGGCUGAGUAAUGGCCGACUGGUUUACCGGAUACGCGCCCUCUGGGUGAAAGUCAGUCCCGUGGGGAUGGCAGGAGCCCAGAUUUCCCCCGCAGCCGCCAUUUGAAGACAAACUUCCCGCGGUCGGUGGCUGGCGCACAGCUCCACCCAUUGGAGGACCUGAGGAUGGAGGACUGAGGGAAACGUGUAUCAGGCUUGCUUUUUCAGGAGUGAGUUUGACGUCAUGUGAAUUGGAGACGCGGCAGAUGGGGAGGCUGAUAGUCUAGAGCUGAAAUGGGAAUGCUCUUUGCUCCAGCACCAUUGGCUGAAGCGAUUUCACACAGAAAAGCGCUGAAUCCUGCCUCUUGGGGUCAUCGAUAUCAAAGUGCAGUUUUAAGGAACCGCAAACACAAGACCAACUUUUCUGUGUGCGAGGCUUAAAUUCCCCAAUCAGACCAACGCUGGCGGGAGAGGACCAAUGCAGAGACAGAGAGGCUGCGAAUGUCCCGUUUUUGUUUAAUAUACACCUCCUUUCUGUUUCUGUCCCCGCCCCUCUGUCAACUGUGAAUUCAGCGCCACCGCAAUCAAUCAGUUAUUUGUCAGUCCUUGUCAAUCCGCCCUUGAUUUAUGUCCAGGGUUUGUCGCUGAUUACAAGCUUUGUGAGAUUGGGAAAGGAGGAAGGGAAAAACGGUCAUUCUGAAAAGAGUCAUUUGAUUUGUGGAAAUAAAUUGUUUUCGGUGUUAAGUCAGCUGAUCUCGCUAACAAUACCGGACUGGAGAACUGGCUGGGAUGACAGACUAUCUUUAAAUUAAGCAUAAUGAAGUCGGAUUCGCUUCAAACAAAUAACUCGACGUUCUACGAUCAACUAAAUCUUGGCGGUAGCCUCCUAAAUCCAGUUCGCCUUCAUUAUCGAAGCACCGCUUUGACUACGUUGUAACCUACUCCAGGUGUAGGCUACUGGAUCGACCUCAUUUAAAGCAAAAUAAUACAGUGAAAUUACGUGGGACUUUAUGCCACUUUCGCGGUCGAAAAAGUUCGUGGGUUGUCUUUAUAUUAAGAGACCUUAUAGGCACUCUUGAGUUCUUUCUUUUUAACCAGUGCCGGAAGACACAGUUUCAAUGCUGUAAGAGAAGAACGGCUGUUAGCCGCCCCACACUGUGCAUAUAAUAGUAUGCCAUUGCUUUUGUUUUCCCGCUGGCUUGGUGGCCUUAACAAUUUUCAGGAGCAACCAAAGGUCACCUGGAGAUAACGUCUGACACAUGUGGAUUGUGGAAAGAGUUUAGGACUCUGGGAAAGUUCCCGACCUAUUUUAUUUUUAUUGUAUCGUUGGCAUUCCUAAUCGUUUUUUCCUUAUAAAACCUAGAAUGAUGGACUGGGUUUUUUUUCAGAAUUUGUUGCAUUUUGGAGCCAAUUUUUAAUUUUCCACAUUCAUGGUUUAUUUUUAAUCCUAAACGUUUACUGUCUGCAGGAAAAUAAAAAAUAUGUCACUGGUUCAUUUGGAAUUCAUUGCAAGUUACGAAACAGUGUCUUAUAGGACCGGGGAACUUUGGUUUUCACGUUGUGUUUAUUCUGUCUCUUCUGCUAAAGUUAAGUUUAAUCAUUGCUUGUAGGGUGCAGUCACCUCUGGGACGAUGCGAAUUUUCUAAGGUAGCCUAAAUCAAAAUCGCAGCAAAAACCUGUUAAUGUGCUCACGGGAGGUGCUGACCGUCUUCUGUGGGCUCUUUUGGGGAUAAAACACUUCGAUAACGCCGCUAUUAACGGAAUGCCGGAAAGUCGUAGUUACUGAAGCUACUGCACAAACCCGGAUUCACUGCACAGUGGGGAAAAACCCUCCGGCUCUUUUGCGAUUACGUAUUUGCCUUCGACAUCAUAACAGCUCCAUAACAGGUGAAUAGAAAAUUAAUUAACUUGAUUCAUUUUUUUAAAUAAUUAAUGAGCGAUUUUUGUUAUAUUUAAAAUAUAUAUAUAAAAUAAGUUAUUUUAAAUAUAAUGGGAAAAUUUGGAAUGAAAGGAUAAAAAGUGGUCUUCCAGACCUCUGAGAACAGAAGUUUAAAUAUGCCCUGAACUGUUCGCCGUUGAGGUGGUUAAUCAGUAUUGAGGCUUCGGGGCAAUGGGCAGGUUUUCAAAGCGGUAUUCCUUUCAUCUGAAGCUGGAUGGAGGCGCUCAAUUAAAAGUCUAUCAGUUUGUCGCCACGGAGAGCAAGAAAACCUGGAGUGGACAUCUUCUGAAAUAAAUAAAGAAAAAUUUUCCUUCGAAACAUUGGGAAAGUUUAUUUAUUUAUUUGUCGUAUGUGUGCAUUCGUCUUCUAUUUCCGUAUUUCUGUGACGGCUUUGCCAAAGUAUUGUGAAUAAACCACCUUUAUUUUUUAUUGCAUCCAAAAUUGUGGGGGAAAGGCUUCUACAAUAUUACUUUAUAAAAUGAUAAACUUGAGAUAUGCCUUAAACGACGCUAUAAUGCGCCUAGCCAGCGGGAACCCUCUGAGCUGAAAUAAGCCUGCAUGGAAACUUGAACACAAUGUUCACACUGACUGGCUAGCCCCUUCGGUCGGAGUAUUUUUGCUAAUCCAUAGCCUGGAUGCCAUUUUCCAGUACCAGUGCACAUUUUGGUUUUGAAUGUUGGUACUGACCUGCAGUGACAAAUGUGUAUGUGCUAAAAGCAAAAAAUAUCAGGUGUGCAUAUAUACAACUAUAGGCAUUUUGGAAAUCAAGAACAAUACAUUACUAUACUUUGCAGUGUAAUAAAUUGUCCACAUUAACAGUAGGCCUAAAUUGUGUAAAUAAAUGUUUCAAGGCUAA
This is a long non-coding RNA of Anguilla anguilla (European eel), 3531 nucleotides long. RefSeq lists it as uncharacterized. The record is from RefSeq and is a predicted model, not a curated record. Lineage: Eukaryota; Metazoa; Chordata; Actinopteri; Anguilliformes; Anguillidae. The transcript is spliced from 5 exons.